AUGGAGGCCACGGCGUUGAGCAUCGGCAAGUCUGUGCUGAAUGCAGCGCUUCGAUCCGCCAAGUCUCCCGUAGCAGAGGAGGUGGCCCUGCAGCUCGGGGUCCAGCGCGACAAGGCCUUCAUCACGGACGAGCUGGAGAUGAUGCAAUCUUUUCUGAUGGUGGCGCACGAUGAGCGAGAUGAGCACAACAAGGUGGUCAGGACCUGGGUGAAGCAGGUCCGCGACGUGUCCUACGACGUCGAGGAUGGCAUCCAGGACUUUGUCGUUCAUAUGAAGAAGCAGUCCUGGUGGCGCAUCCCUUGCACACUCCUCAACCGGCGCCAUGUUGCCAAGCAGAUGAAGGAGCUGAGGACCAAGGUCAAGGAUGUGAGCGAGAGGAACUUGCGCUACAGCCUCAUCAAGGGCUCUAGCUCCACUGAGCCUGCUGCUACAGCUGCUGCCACCAUGUUUGGUGUUGAAGAAGCAAGGCACGCCGCAAAGAAACACCAAUCAAGAUCGGAUCUUGCCCAACUGAUCAACCAGGAGGGUGGCAACCAAAUUGGAGUGAUCGGUGUAUGGGGAACAAAUGGCAGUGUUGGGCAUACCUCCAUCAUCUGGGAGGCCUACGAGAAUCCAAUCGUCAAAUUGAAUUUUCCGUGCCGAGCAUGGGUCAGGGUGAUGCGCCCUUUCAGUCCAACAGAAUUUGUCCAGAGUAUGGUGAAACAAUUUCAUGCAACAGUAGGAGUUGGUGUUCUGCUGGAGGGCGAAAGGAAGGGUCAAGAUUUGGCUCAAGCCUUCAAUGGAUAUGUCAAUGAGAAGAGGUGCCUGAUUGUGCUUACUGACCUGUCCACAAUUGAAGAAUGGCACCAGAUCAAGAUUUGCUUCCCAGAGAACAAACUAGGGAGCCAGAUCAUAGUAUCCACAAAACAUGUUGAAGUUGCAAGCCUGUGUCCAGGUCAACCAAGUACGGUGUCGGAGUUGAAGCAAUUGUCUGCUGAUCAGACCAUCUAUGCUUUCUACAAACAGAGUUCUCAUGACGUUACCUAUCCAUCAAAGCCAGCAUCUACCACAAAGUUAUCCAACAUCCCUGAGAAUGAGAUACAAGAAGAUCAAUCCAAUGCUGAUGUUGAGGGAAAUAUGACAGUGCAAAAGAGGUUCACACGCACCUACACAAUGGCAGGUGUUCUGGAGGAAUUUCAGCUUAUUGGGCGAGAGAAAGAAAAAUCUGAUAUUAUUGAACUAAUUGUAGAACAAGCUAGCACCCAUCAAUUUCAGGUGAUAGUAGUAUGGGGAAUGGGUGGUCUUGGAAAAACCACUCUGAUAAAAAAUGUUUUCGAGAGCAAAGAUGUCACUGCCAUGUUUGGGAAAUAUGCUUUUGUCACAGUCUUGCGACCUUUCAAGCUUGAGGAACUCCUUAGGAGCUUGGCAUUGCAACUAGAUGCAAACAAGGGAUCCAUGGACUUUGUAGGUGACACCCAAAAAAACAUUGCUUUGAUGGGAGUUGCAGAGUUGAUUGAAGUGUUGGGCAGACGUUCAGAAGGAAAGAGUUGUUUGAUUGUUCUUGAUGACCUGUCAUCUAGCACAGAAUGGGAUAAAAUGUUGCCAUGUUUACAUGCAAUGGAAAAUCUGGUCAUUGUGAUAACCACAAGGCGAGAGGAUAUUGCUAAGCAUUGUUGCAAAAAACCGAAGUGCAUACGCUUGCUCAAUGGUCUUGAAGAGAAGGAUGCAAGUCACCUGUUCACAAGAAAGGUAUUUAAGAAUAGGACUACUGAUUUGGCUGAGCAAUAUCCUGCAUUGGUUGAACCAGCAAAACUAAUCCUAAAGAAGUGCAAUGGACUUCCCCUUGCGAUCGUCACCAUAGGUGGCUUCUUGGCUGAUCAACCAACAAAAAUUGCUGCAGAGUGGAGAAAACUGGAUGAGCAUAUCAGUGUUGAGCUGGAGAUGAAUCCAAAGUUUGAGGUCAUAAAAACAGUUCUCAUGAAAAGUUAUGAUGGCCUACCCUAUUAUCUCAAGUCUUGUUUCUUGUACAUGUCCAUCUUCCCUGAAGACCGCAAUGUUAGCCGGAGACGUUUGGCUUACCGAUGGAUUGCUGAAGGUUAUGCACGAGACAAGGCCACAGCAGAUAGAUACUUCAUGGAACUCGUAGAGAGAAGCAUGAUAUUACCAACUCAGCAAUCAGCUUGCAGCAUACAAGGAUUUGACUCCUGCCAGCUACACGAUCUGAUUCGUGAUAUCAGCAUUGCAGAGUCGAUGGAGGAAAAUCUUGUUUUCAGGUUGGAGGAAGGCUGCAGCUUGAAUACCCAUGGUGCAGUGCGUCACCUUGCCAUAAGCAGCAACUGGGAGGGUGAUGAGCGCGAGUUGGAGAGCACCAUGGAGCUGUCCCGUAUACGAUCAUUGACAGUGUUUAGCAAGUGGAAGCCAUUUUACAUUUCUGAUAAGAUGAGGUUUCUCCGGGUGCUGGACCUGGAAGGAACAAAAGGGUUAAGAAGUCAUCACCUUGAGCACAUUGGGGAGCUUCUUCAUCUGAGAUACCUCUCUCUACGUGGGUCUAGUUUGGUCUGUUCCCUCCCAGAUUCGGUGGGUAAUCUGAGACAACUUGAGACACUAGACAUCAAGCAGACGGGUAUAGCUAUGUUGCCCAGAACCAUCAUCAAGCUUAGUAAGCUAUGUUAUCUCCAUGCUGGUAAAGAAUCAGGGGAUAACAAUGAGCUGAAUUAUUUUUCAAAGCAUCGAAAUAUCUAUGCAGUGCAAUAUGUAGUAUGCUGCUCAGAUGAGUUUUUUGAAGAUGAUCUUGAUAGAUGUGAUGUUUGCACUCUUGCUUGCUGCAUACUGUACCCUAAUAUCAUUAGGGGCAUAGCUUCUUCCGGUGUUAAGGUGCCAAGAGGGACUAGAAAACUGAAGGCCCUGCGUACAUUGCGGUAUGUGCACCUUGCCUGGGGAAAUGACGUUAUAAAAGAGAUAAAAGGCCUUACAAGCCUGCAGAAGCUAGGAGUGGUCGGCAUCAAUAAGAGAAAUGGUCCGGGUUUCUGUUCGGUCCUUUCUAGUCUCAGCCAUCUUGAAUCGUUGUCAGUGCGGUCAGGUGAUAGCUUAAAUGGCUGUUUGGAUGGCAUGUCCACAGCUCUGGAAAACCUGCAGAGCCUCAAGCUAUCCGGCAGCCUGGAAAAAUUGCCGGAAUGGAUCAAGGGGCUCCAAAAUCUCGUGAAGCUCAAGUUAGAACUCAGCAGGCUAUCAGGGAACCUUGAAGCCAUGCAAGUUCCUGGGAACCUACCAAACCUAUCCAUUCUGGGUUUGUCGGAUCACUGGCUUAAGAUCGAUGUACUCCAGUUCCAGACUGGCCUUUUCAGAAGGCUCACGGUGCUUGAUCUUUUCUACACAAGUAUGGAAAUUAAAUUAGUGAAGUUUGAGAAAGAAUCAGUGCCCAAUCUUGAGUUGCUGACCCUUAGCAUUGGAAAUACUGCGAUUGCCUUCUCUGGGCUAGAACUUCUCCAAAACAUCAAGGAAGUACGGCUUGGUGUUCAUUGUAGCUGGUUUACACCCAAAACAUCAAGAAAUGGGAAAAUUGAAAGAAUGAGUAAGAGAAUGCAUGAAUGGAUGAAAGAAGAAGAAAAGAAAUACAAACCCGUGCAAGAUAAAGUCAGGAAGGAGAUGCAGAUGCAGCUUGAUAGGAAUAAGAAUCGACCCAUCUUGAAGGUGCAAUGA
This 3678-nucleotide ribosomal RNA is filed under the name Triticum aestivum (bread wheat). Its description in RNAcentral is "partial small subunit ribosomal RNA". Lineage: Eukaryota; Viridiplantae; Streptophyta; Magnoliopsida; Poales; Poaceae. The record is from RNAcentral.